CCUACGGGUGGCAGCAGUGGGGAAUAUUGCACAAUGGGCGCAAGCCUGAUGCAGCCAUGCCGCGUGUGUGAAGAAGGCCUUCGGGUUGUAAAGCACUUUCAGCGGGGAGGAAGGCGUUAAGGUUAAUAACCUUGUCGAUUGACGUUACCCGCAGAAGAAGCACCGGCUAACUCCGUGCCAGCAGCCGCGGUAAUACGGAGGGUGCAAGCGUUAAUCGGAAUUACUGGGCGUAAAGCGCACGCAGGCGGUUUGUCAAGUCGGAUGUGAAAUCCCCGGGCUCAACCUGGGAACUGCAUUCGAAACUGGCAGGCUAGAGUCUUGUAGAGGGGGGUAGAAUUCCAGGUGUAGCGGUGAAAUGCGUAGAGAUCUGGAGGAAUACCGGUGGCGAAGGCGGCCCCCUGGACAAAGACUGACGCUCAGGUGCGAAAGCGUGGGGAGCAAACAGGAUUAGAUACCCCAGUAGUC
RNAcentral lists this ribosomal RNA (465 nucleotides) under uncultured Klebsiella sp. RNAcentral's name for it is "bacterial SSU rRNA". It matches the Rfam family "Bacterial small subunit ribosomal RNA", at positions 338 to 795 of the family's 1533-position model. The record is from RNAcentral. Lineage: Bacteria; Pseudomonadati; Pseudomonadota; Gammaproteobacteria; Enterobacterales; Enterobacteriaceae.